GACGAACGCUGGCGGCGUGCUUAACACAUGCAAGUCGAACGAAGUGGCGAACGGGUGAGUAACGCGUAAUCAACCUGCCCUUCAGUGGGGGACAACAGUUGGAAACGACUGCUAAUACCGCAUACUGAAGGAGGGGAUUGCGUCUGAUUAGCUAGUUGGGGGGGUAACGGCCCACCAAGGCGAAGAUCAGUAGCCGGUCUGAGAGGGUGAACGGCCACAAUGGGACUGAGUCACGGCCCAGACUCCUACGGGAGGCAGCAGGGGGGAAUCUUCCGCAAUGGACGAAAGUCUGACGGAGCAACGCCGCGUGAGUGAUGACGGCUUUCGGGUUGUAAAGAUCUGUUAAUCGGGACGCGGUACCGGAAUAGAAAGCCACGGCUAACUACGUGCCAGCAGCCGCGGUAAUAC
RNAcentral lists this ribosomal RNA (408 nucleotides) under uncultured bacterium. RNAcentral describes it as "partial 16S ribosomal RNA". It matches the Rfam family "Bacterial small subunit ribosomal RNA", at positions 28 to 526 of the family's 1533-position model. The record is from RNAcentral.